UAAAGUAUCCAUAGGAGGUCCAUUAUGUAUGAAGUUUUCUUCAAGACUAAUCCAAGUUUCUAGGAGACUAAAGAUCCUUUUUUCCAGCCUUACAGUAUGUACAGUGACUGCUUUAUAUGUAAGGAUUUAAAAAUAACAUUAGAUAAUUAGAUAGAAGUUCAGUUUGAUUCAACUACACACUACACAUGAAACCAGUCAGUCAUUGCAAGUUGAUUGCUCAUAUUCUUACAAUUUCUUAAGAAUUUAGAAUUUUCCAUCCAAAAAUGAACAAUUAUUGAUUUUUUCCCCCUAAAAAUUAAGCAUCCAUAGAAUCAUGUACUAUACUUUAUAAUAUGCUUUAAAAUGUUUGUAGGAAAAUCAUAGCUUAGAAAAUACUAUGUAUAGUUAAAUAUAUUUUAUACCAUUUUUCAAAAUUCAGCAAUACUUAUUUUUUGGACAUUCCUGUAAUAUUCUGAUACUAUGGGAGAGGAAUGAGCAUGUACAAUUUCACAAAUAAUUUUUUUUAUGGACCUGACAUAUUAUGAAAAUCUUUUUUGAACAUAACGUAAAUGAUUUUGUAAAAACAAUGUUACAAAUACAAUGCGGUUUAAUUCAUUUCCUCUGUAUUAGUGCUCUGUAGUGUGUGAAAUAUAAUGACAGGUAUGAUCAGGAAGAAGGUUUUUCUGAGAUAUAAGUUUCAGAUAACACAGUAGUCACAUAGAUGUAGAAACAUUUCUCUGAUCAUGUUCAUUUUAUUACCAAUAAUUUAGAAGAGAUAUGUUGUUUCUGCCUACAGUGUUUUGCCCUAAUUAAUGCUCAAACAAAAUAUCAACUCAAUAGGAUGAAACCUGAGAAAACAGAAAUGUCAUUCAGGCACCAGAGACCUUCAAUAAUCUCCACCUUCAAUCUCAAUUCAUCCUUGAUUAUUUAUUGUUAAAAAAUAGUCGAAAGGGAGAAUUUGUGCAUUAAUAUAAAACAAGCUUUGCGUAAUUUAUAGUGUACAGUAUAUGAUGGAUUUUACAGAGGAUAAAGGAAGCUGGAAAGGGGAUGAUAAGAGCAAGAAUAUCCUUUUGUCAGAAAAAAUAUAUAGUUUUUCUCUGAGCUUAACAGUUUGUGUGGGUUGCUUUAUGAGUUAGCGCAGUGAGUAAUCCUCAGAACAGAACACUUUAUUUAAGGUAGUGUUCAUAGAGUUACAUGUGAAAAGUUAUUCCUGACAGCUGUUGUGAAAUUGCAUACACAUUUAUAAUGCUAUAUUUCAGUAUCAGCUGUCAUAAAGACUGCUUUUGUUAUUUGCCGAUGCUACCCGAAUUGUCAGAGAUUUUUGUUUGACAAAAACUUUCUACCUUUUUUCAGGCUAAUUGACUUUAUUUGAUCAUGAUAUCUGAAUUUGUAGCAAGUGUACAUUUGGUAGGUCAGAAACAUGUUACUGUGAUACAGUCUAACAAUAACACUCUAAUUAAGGGCAUGAGAAAAAUAAAUAUUAUUAGGUGUUCAGAGACAUUUUUAUAGAACCAAAUUAACUCACUGCCAUCGUUACAGUGUCUUGUUGCUGCACUUGAAUUGCACUUCAAUUAAAUACAAUAGUGUGAAUUUGGGCUUUUUUCAGUGUCUAAGUUCGGCUCUCCUAACAGCGUUGAUUUUUUUUUUCUUUCCUAAACCAUACAAAGUUUGCAUUACCUUUUUAUUUUGACUUACUAUGUAUAACUAUAGCUGCAGUUGUUCUUUGGGUUUUUCAGUCUAAUUAACACAACAACAUUUAUCUGCAUUGAAUAAUAAAUAAAAUAAUAUGAUAGAAAUAAAUCAAAAAAGUAAAGCACUACAAAAGUACAUUGGUAAAUACAGUACACAACUGUAAUGUGCUGAUGUUGACUUAGCUUUAUUAAGAAUAUUCCAAUUUACUCAAAUAAUUGAUCACCUUCUCUACACUUGACUACAUACAGUACGUUUUCAGUAAGCAGCAUUGCAGAUGGAUCUUCCCUGCUAUUUCGCCUCAUACACAGAACUGAGCACUCGUCUAAUGAAUAUAACUGUAAUCAGCACAAAUAUAGCAAAGCAAUUUCCAGGAAGCAUUUUGAUUAAAUAACACUACAAGAGCAAUGCCACUGCCUACAUCUAAGUAUAACCCAAACAAACAAUCUGGCUCUCAAAAUUCACCUAAGUGUUGCUUACAUAGUUCUCAAAAGUGCACUUAACUUCAAAAGAAUUGGCCUUAUGGAGUUAACCAAGGCUCUCACAUGAAUCUUAAGAAGUAUGAUUCAUUGCUCAAUUAUUUCAUUAGGGAAUGUGUUGAUGUAAUGAUAUCAUUUUGCAGUAAAUACACUCUGGAUGAAAAGUGAGAUCCAACCCUCAUUUAAACCCAUUAUGUAUCAUUCAACAAACCCUAGAAAUAAACUCAGAAAGGCAAGAAUCAAUUGUAAGCAAGGCAUAAAGAGCAAGAUGACUUCAAUCCACAGCACAAGAUUUGUAUUUUUUUUGUAAUCACAGAUUGCAAAAGCAAAACCAGCUGCUGUGAGCUGAAGGAGCACAUCAAAUUUGAUUCUUGUUUUAAAGACCACAUUGCAGGGCCUUAAAAUCCCAGACCAACAGAUGUUUCAGCCAUCAACUAAUGUCAUGAAGAGAUGCCUAAAUAAGAUACACGUUUAGAAGGCUGCAGGAACUGAUGAAAUACAUCACUGUUCCCUCUGCACACCAUCUCAGCCACUCAAAUAUCUCUCACUUAAAUAUCUUGAAAGUGUAAUGCUUAUGAAUGAAUGUUACUAAUGAACUUCUAAGUGUUUAAAACCACCACCUGAAGCUUUUCAGCAAAUUCGGAGUCCUCAGCCUAUACAAAUCCAUAUAUAAUGGAGUGUUGCAAUUCCUUAGUGGCCAGGUCCAGGCUAUUAGGACCUUACUCCACCUUACUCAUGCUGAACAGUGGUACCCCACAAAGCUUUGUACUUAGCCCACUCAUGUUCUCCCUGUUCACCUUGACUGUGCCGUCAGACAUAUCAUAAACAUUAUCAUCAAACAGCUCUAUUAUGCUAAGAUUAAGCCAUGGAUCAUACAGCCUUCAGGGAGGAAAUAGUACUGCUAAUGUUCUGGGAGCAACAUCAGCAAGACUAAGCAAUUAAUCUCAACACCAGAAAGUGGUGUGUUGACCACAGACCUACCUCCAUCAGUGGAAAUACUAUGCAGUCAGAUGGCCACUUUAAGACCUUGAGGGUUCACAUAAAUCAAGACCACGCUUUUCAAGAAAGAUCACAAAAGCAUUUACUUCUUCACAAGCAAGGAAGAAGAGGCACACAUUACAAACUCAAGAAAUGCUGGAAAAAAUAGACAGGUGCCUGAAAUGAUCUAACACAGAAAGUCAUCAUAACAACAAGCUGGACACCUCAAGAGAAAUGAUUCUACACUCCCGAGUACCAGGAAGUCUGCACAACCAUGGCCCAUGGAGUGAAGAGAACAUAAAAAAAAAUUACUCUGGAAAAAUGUCCAAGGUCAUGGGACAAGGUGAUGGUGGAUAGGCUACUUUUGGCACUAUAAGUCCAUUUACUUUAAAGAAUGGAGAAAGCAUUAAGUCUAUUAAAGGUUGUGCUCUUCUAGACAUUCAUAUCACAGCAUACUCGGACCACAUCAAGGUUGUCGUACCCCAAUAAGAGUUAUAUGAUGUACUGUAUGAUGAUGCAAGAUUCAGGUAACAACCAAGUGUAGACAAUGUCUUAGAAAGUUUAGCCUCUAUCUUUAAAACUUGCUGCAUGUCAAAGAACUCAUCUCAUUACUGAAAUCUGGGAGAAGAGUCUCAAUGUGCUCCUGUGUUGACUGACAUGCUGGAGCUUGUCUAAUUUGUGAAUGUAAAGUACACCAUAUGCAAUUUUAAUAAAUUGGAGAGAGAAUGAUGGAUAGAAAAUUGAUUAUUUUAAUAUUCCACACCAUUACUCUAUUUAUAUUCUUCAUUUGGCUUCAGCCAUAACCUGUCUAAACCUGUCUUUAAACGAUCUCUUUGAUAUCAGAGAUAAAGAGAGAUUACCGAAGAGGAGAUUCUCAGUUGCAGUCUGUUUUUAAUUGAACACUCUAUACGGCAGUAGCCUAAUAUGCCACUUUGAUAUUGCAAGUAAAUACACAACAAGAGUAAGUCCUUGUUUGUCAGAAUUCAUUCUUAAAUUAAUACAAACACUUGUACACUUCAUUUCCAUACCUGGACUUCCAUUGCCAUGACAUUGACAUUUGUGACAUACCGUAUCUAAGCUGAUUACCUAGGAAAGUCUAUGGAGGCAUUCUUAUGUUAAACAGAUUCAAGGGUGCAAAUAGUUCACAAUGUUUUGUCUAUUUAUUGGAGAAAAGGGUGCUUUCAAUCAUUUCUGAACCUCUGCCCUUGGAACCCAUUUUUAUUAAGAUGUAAUUAGAUUCCAUUUGAUAUUAUUUACAAGCAUAAUAACCUUGAUGAUUAGUUUCCAUCACUGUAACAAAAAUGUGCCAAUGUGUCUGUGAUUUUCUAUGUUUCAUGCACCCCACAUUAAGGAUAAUUGUUGUAGGUAAACUGUUUAAAUACAGUAAAGUUAUAACAUGUGUACAUGGACUGUGUAUUUAUGAUUAAAAUGUUGUAUUAGUAUACAUUAAAUACUGUAACUAUUUUUGUGGCAGUCUGGGGAAAUCUGCUGGAUGCUGCUGUGGAUGAAGUCUGGCAAACAGCUGAAAAAUUAUAUCUUCCUGCAAAUAUCAUGUUGUAUAAUGAGCCAGUUUAACAAACGUGGUGGAAAAAAAAGUUUUAUUUAAAAAUAUCCAAAACCUUGCUAGCUAGGUGUUAUUUCCUCACAUAGUGAAUGUCACGGUUUGAUGUCUGGAGUUUUAGAUAGUUAUGUACAGUAUAAAUAAUAUCAGCUUGUCAUUAGCUCUUACUGUCAGUCUGUUCGUGAUAAGCGUCAAAGUCAAAUUGUAAUUUUUAAACGAAUUUUUACACACUUUAUCAGCAGCCUUAUGAGACACUUGUUUCUUCGGCAAAGAAUAAUAAUAUCUGACAGCCCAGCUAAUGAUUUGUCUUCUUUUUAUAUCUCCCCAUAUUGUUCUUCUGCAAUUCAGAACCAUAUUCUCUCUUUCCUUUAGAGAAUAUUAAGAGAUGGGACUUGGCAGUCUUUAUAGAAUGCGUAUGAUUGUUUUGUUCUCCAUUUCAUAUCUGUAGGGUUCACAGAUUUAAUACAGCAAGUGUAUGAGUGUAUGCAUUAUUGCUACAGAUAUAAUCGCAUGUUAUUAUGUGCAUGAAGAGUCGAUUACUGAGCUGACUUACUGAACGGUACUUACCUGACUGCAUUGUGCCAAUGGGGUGAAUAUGGUGUGGAGUUGUUUUACAGGGGUUGGGCUUGGCCCCUUAGUUCCAGUGGAAGAAACACUCAAGACAUUUGGGACAAUUUCAUGCUCCCAACUUUGUGGGGACAGUUUGGGCAUGGCCCCUUCCUGUUCCAACAUGACUGUGCACCAGCGCACAGAUCAAAGUCCAUAAAGACAUCUAUGAGCAAGUUUGGUGUGGUGAAACUUGACUGGCCUUCACAGUUGGACAGUCAUGUCUUUAACCCCAUAAAAAACCUUUGGGAUGUGUUGUAAGACCCUGGCAGGUACAGGAUGGAGUUGCAGGAAUAUUCCUAGGCUCCAAUAUCGGUUCUCAGCCAACAAACCCAAUUAAAUACAUAGAUACACCUCAACAAAUUGUUAACCUAUCUGUCAGAAGACAGACAGAAAUAGAUAUUACAAAGAGAAGGAAUAAAUAGGAAAAGAAAGGAGAGACAUAAGGCAAAUAGACAAAAGAAAAUCAAUGUGAAAAUACAAAAGGUUGAAGAGUUGGUUAAAGAGUUGAAAGACUUAAAUAUGAGUUACUAAAAGAAGACAACGAUGGAUCAGACGCUGUACCUAGACAGCUGUAAGAAGAUUCCAAAAGAAAGGAAGGUUAUUAUGUGUUAAGUUUUAUUUUCAGAAGUUCAGGAGAACUCUUAAUCGCAUUAAUCAUGUAUUCUCCUAUAAUAGAAUUGAUAAGAUUAAUUAUUAUUAAUAUUGCUUAUUUGACUGUAAACUUAGAUGAUUAUGUUUCUCACAGUGAAAUCUUAAAAGCCCACUGUGACAUUUACUCGCAUCAAAAUUAGCUUGUGAAUUAUAGCAUUCCCGGUGGAAAUAUGCAAAUAAAGUGUUUAUUUGUCUCGCUGUUGAAGAUUUGACAGAAGGUUUCUAUCAUAUGUAACCACAGCUUUGCAGCUGCAGGAAGUAUGAUAACCCUAACCCUAACCCUAUAACCAUAUAUUUAAUUGUUAACCUUCAAAGAUGAGGAAAAAACAUGAGUAGCACUCUGAAUGUGACAAGAAAUGUUUGGAGGAUGAAAUUUGAUGUUGGAUGUUGAAAAAGCCCAAGGUGGCCAGAAUUGACAGCGAAAUACAACUUGCAAUAACAAUGUUACAAAGUGUAUAUAAGACCCAUGAAAUGUCAUUUGGGUGUGCAUUCACCUAGAGGCAAGCUUAGUGUGUUAUACUCAGUUAUUGGUAAUAGUGAGUGCAUCAUAAAACAAACGCAAGCUUACACUUGAUUACUUUUACUUAUUCUAAUACUGUUUGAUUAUUUGAAGGAGAUUUUAUUUGUCUUUUUUUUUUAC
Molecule: long non-coding RNA, 6586 nt
Organism: Tachysurus fulvidraco (yellow catfish)
Lineage: Eukaryota; Metazoa; Chordata; Actinopteri; Siluriformes; Bagridae
Exons: 3
Source: RefSeq, a predicted model, not a curated record